CCCUGUUGAUCCAGAUGCUGCCUCUCCAGUACCAUAUCUGCCUGCAUGCCCUCAUGCUCCCUGCCAUGCUGACAAUGGACUAAACCUCUAAGACAGGAGGAAAACCCCAAGGCACUAGAUUACUGCCUGCCAUGCUAUCACAGAGUGUGAAUCAACUACAUCACGACACACAGAGCCACAGAGCAGAAUCCAGAUUCUCCAUUUGAUAGAACCAAAGAGCAUUCCUCCGCCUCUAAAACAAGCCAAGAUGCAUGAGCAAUUUCAGGUUAGAGCGGGCAGAAGACAGCAAGCAGCCCCAGCACUUGUGCUUGCUUUCAUGGUGGGUACCUGGCACAGGAAGACAGCAAGCAAUGGGCUAGCAGAAGGAGCCACUUGAUCAGCACAGGUGUUUCCAUCCGAUGAACUGGGGUCACCUUUUACACACCUGCUAACUCCUUGUUAGCAGGAUUGGGUGGAUUUAACCAAUUGGUAAGCUGUGUAUACAGGUUUUUGCCGUGUAAUGGAUCCUCUUGACUCUAGAGAGUGGUAUUUUAUGGCAGAUAAGGAAAGUAAGGCAAUAUAAAAUAAAGGCAAAAAGUGGGAAGGGGCGUGUUCCAUAUCUAUUACAGUGUGUGAAACAGGCAGGUGCUUAUUACACCUUUAGUGUGUGGUAUGACUUGCAGAAUAUUGGCAUUUGGGGGACUACCACAGUUAAUCGUCACAAUAAACAAAGCCUGAAGAGAGGACAGGGUAGCUGAGUGGGGAAGGAACUGGCCAGUCCACAUGGGACAUUUCAAUGGAGACUUGUAAUUAGAAAGAGAUGCUGGAAAGCAAGUAGGCUGACCCGUAGAAGUCAAUGAAUUUGGAGAGAGCUAAUUUAAAUAAAAUAUGUGUUGUUUCAGAACUGAGUAAUACAUAGUGUGACUUCCAUAGAGUAAAAAUAAGGUGGAGUUAUGGCAGGACACUCUUACUGGAUGCUGUCACCUGAGGCACACAUCUUGCAAGCAAAUUGCUACCAUAAAAUUUUCUUGCUGUUAGUACGGGAAGCCCACAUUGGCUUUGUCUUUACUAUUGGCAAGCUUGAUAAAGCUUUGAAACAAAAAGAGUAUAGGGGCUUUAAUCAAACUGGCUGAAUUCCCAGCCCCUGCAAAAUGACCUUACAGAACUCUGGGGUAGUCUGGAGUUGCAGCUGUCAGCAUUUGGCCAGAGAAUAAAAUGUUCCUUCCUUUUCCGUGUAUUUUCUUUACUGGACGAAAGAAAAUAAAUGGGUUUAAAGAAAUACACAGAAAUCUGUAGAAAACCUUAAAUAUGGCAUCUCUAUGACUUUGCAAAAUAAACAAAGAAUAAAGAUGUAUUCAUGUGCA
Long non-coding RNA from Grammomys surdaster, 1343 nucleotides. RefSeq lists it as uncharacterized. NCBI's taxonomy places the organism in Eukaryota, Metazoa, Chordata, Mammalia, Rodentia, Muridae. The transcript is spliced from 3 exons. The record is from RefSeq and is a predicted model, not a curated record.